Molecule: ribosomal RNA, 600 nt
Filed under: Bacillus sp. YIM C737
Lineage: Bacteria; Bacillati; Bacillota; Bacilli; Caryophanales; Bacillaceae
Description: bacterial SSU rRNA
Rfam family: Bacterial small subunit ribosomal RNA
Source: RNAcentral
GCUGGCGGCGUGCCUAAUACAUGCAAGUCGAGCGGACAGAAGGGAGCUUGCUCCCGGAUGUUAGCGGCGGACGGGUGAGUAACACGUGGGUAACCUGCCUGUAAGACUGGGAUAACUCCGGGAAACCGGAGCUAAUACCGGAUAGUUCCUUGAACCGCAUGGUUCAAGGAUGAAAGACGGUUUCGGCUGUCACUUACAGAUGGACCCGCGGCGCAUUAGCUAGUUGGUGGGGUAAUGGCUCACCAAGGCGACGAUGCGUAGCCGACCUGAGAGGGUGAUCGGCCACACUGGGACUGAGACACGGCCCAGACUCCUACGGGAGGCAGCAGUAGGGAAUCUUCCGCAAUGGACGAAAGUCUGACGGAGCAACGCCGCGUGAGUGAUGAAGGUUUUCGGAUCGUAAAGCUCUGUUGUUAGGGAAGAACAAGUGCGAGAGUAACUGCUCGCACCUUGACGGUACCUAACCAGAAAGCCACGGCUAACUACGUGCCAGCAGCCGCGGUAAUACGUAGGUGGCAAGCGUUGUCCGGAAUUAUUGGGCGUAAAGGGCUCGCAGGCGGUUUCUUAAGUCUGAUGUGAAAGCCCCCCGGNUCAACCGGG